Molecule: ribosomal RNA, 409 nt
Filed under: uncultured bacterium
Lineage: Bacteria
Description: bacterial SSU rRNA
Rfam family: Bacterial small subunit ribosomal RNA
Source: RNAcentral
AGAGUUUGAUCCUGGCUCAGAACGAACGCUGGCGGCAUGCCUAAUACAUGCAGGUCGAACGAGAUCUUCGGAUCUAGUGGCGCACGGGUGCGUAACGCGUGGGAAUCUGCCCUUGGGUUCGGAAUAACAGUUGGAAACGACUGCUAAUACCGGAUGAUGACGAAAGUCCAAAGAUUUAUCGCCCAAGGAUGAGCCCGCGUAGGAUUAGCUAGUUGGUGGGGUAAAGGCCUACCAAGGCGACGAUCCUUAGCUGGUCUGAGAGGAUGAUCAGCCACACUGGGACUGAGACACGGCCCAGACUCCUACGGGAGGCAGCAGUAGGGAAUAUUGGACAAUGGGGGCAACCCUGAUCCAGCAAUGCCGCGUGAGUGAUGAAGGCCUUAGGGUUGUAAAGCUCUUUUACCCGGGG